GGUGGAACAUCGUCUUGCUGCUCAUGGUGAUCUCUAGCUUGAGCUUCCCCUCCGGCUCCCUAUUGAUGUCCUGAGGAGGCAUAGCCGGGGUUGCCGAAGGUGCUAUUGCGAGUUGUAUUCACCAUCCUGUCAGGGAGUAGACAGGUCAAUUUGUCGAACUGGCUGAAUCAUAAGGGAUGAUGCUCUAGUAAAGAGGGGGUCUGGUUCUAUGCUAGUGUGAAAUUUUUAAGCCAAAGGUUUUUGGAAAGCUAUGCAUUAGUUUAAAACAAGCGAUGUAGUCACCCACAAGCUGCCUAAGGUAGAAUGCGACUUGCAUCCAACAGGCUUACACAACACUCAUGGUUCACUAAACCGAUACAUGAACUCCUACGCUCGGGGAGUAAA
This 384-nucleotide long non-coding RNA is filed under the name Hordeum vulgare. RNAcentral's name for it is "long non-coding RNA (HVUL_LNC004658)". The record is from RNAcentral. Lineage: Eukaryota; Viridiplantae; Streptophyta; Magnoliopsida; Poales; Poaceae.